ACCUGGCUGGCUUAGUCCAUAGAGCAUGGGAUUCUUGAUCUCGGGGUUGUGAGUUCAAGCCUCACGUUGGGCG
This 73-nucleotide transfer RNA is filed under the name Felis catus (domestic cat). It matches the Rfam family "tRNA". Rfam says of the family: Transfer RNA (tRNA) molecules are approximately 80 nucleotides in length. Their secondary structure includes four short double-helical elements and three loops (D, anti-codon, and T loops). The record is from Rfam by way of RNAcentral. Lineage: Eukaryota; Metazoa; Chordata; Mammalia; Carnivora; Felidae.